CCUACGGGUGACAGCAGUGAGGAAUAUUGGUCAAUGGCCGGAAGGCUGAACCAGCCAUGCCGCGUGAAGGUCAGUGCCCUAUGGGCGUUAAACUUCUUUUGUGCGGGAGCAAUAAUGGUCACGUGUGGCCAGACGAGAGUACCGUACGACUAAGCAUCGGCUAACUCCGUGCCAGCAGCCGCGGUAAUACGGGGGAUGCAAGCGUUAUCCGGAUUUAUUGGGUUUAAAGGGUGCGUAGGCUGUGAGGUAAGUCAGCGGUGAAAUGCCCCCGCUCAACGGGGUGAAGUGCCAUUGAUACUGCCGUGCUGGAAUGCGGAUGCGGUGGGAGGAAUGUGUGGUGUAGCGGGGAAAUGCGUAGAUAUUACACAGAACACCGAUUGCGAAGGCAUCCCACGAAUCCGCGAUUGACGCUGAGGCACGAAAGCGUGGGGAUCAAACAGGAUUAGAUACCCCUGUAGUC
RNAcentral lists this ribosomal RNA (460 nucleotides) under uncultured bacterium. RNAcentral's name for it is "partial 16S ribosomal RNA". It matches the Rfam family "Bacterial small subunit ribosomal RNA", at positions 338 to 795 of the family's 1533-position model. The record is from RNAcentral.